RNAcentral lists this ribosomal RNA (276 nucleotides) under Triticum aestivum (bread wheat). RNAcentral describes it as "partial small subunit ribosomal RNA". The record is from RNAcentral. Lineage: Eukaryota; Viridiplantae; Streptophyta; Magnoliopsida; Poales; Poaceae.
AUGGCAGAGGAACCGUCCGCCAAGUGUCAUCAUGGCGAGACGUCGGACAAGACCAGCAACCUCGUCGACGUUCACGUCCCCAGCGAGAAGCGCGAGUACACCACAACACUCACAGGGGUUGAGCUCCACGGCAAGGAGACGCUGGAGAUCGUCUGCAUCAGCGAACCAGACGAGGCCAACAAGAUGAUCUCCAGGCUCUGGAGGAAGGCUGGCGGCAAGCUUCGUAAGAUCGUCGGCGUUGGUGUGCACUACACCAGCGAAGAUGAACCUCCCUAG